This is a long non-coding RNA of Gorilla gorilla gorilla (western lowland gorilla), 3135 nucleotides long. RefSeq lists it as uncharacterized. Lineage: Eukaryota; Metazoa; Chordata; Mammalia; Primates; Hominidae. The record is from RefSeq and is a predicted model, not a curated record. The transcript has 3 exons.
GAGCAGCAGGGGCAGCCCCACCGCAAUGCACGUGACCAUCUUGUCCACAGCCAGCUCCAGUCGCAGCCCCUUGAACUUGGGCUCCGUGGGCUCCUUCAGCAAGAAAUCCGAGAACACGUACUCCGUGGCCAGGUGGUCGCUGACCUGGCAGGUUAUCAUCCACUUCCCAGGAUUCUCAGCUAUCAUUUCUGUUGUAAGGAAGGUGGCUGGGAACAGGUUGACGACAUCAGUCCGAUGCCCUCUGCUGAUGAAGGUGUUACCAUAGAAAUAGAUAGAAUGGAUGUCUAUUUCAUUCCCCAUUCCAAAUAGGUGCCAGGACACAGAUUCUCCAACACACAUAUCAGGCUCCGGGAAGUUUCCGAAGAGGUAUCCAUUGAGGGCUGGAAACAGAAACACACUAGUGGAAGAGACUCUGCUGCAGAGGCGACUGGGACCAGAAAUGUUGAGAAAACACUCAAUAAAAGUGAAGAUCAGCAUACACUGAGAACAGCCUCGGAGCUGCUGUGGGAACGCAAUAUGAGGUCAGGAGAAAACAGAGUGCUGCUCAUAUUUACAGGAGGCUCAGUCACCUUCUGUCAUAAUCCUUCACUGGCAUAUCUGCUGUCUCCACCAGAUUCUGUGCUCCUUGGAACUAGAAACCCUGUCUUGUUCAUCUUAACAGUUAUCAGGACCUAGCAGAAAAACUGGCACAUAGUAUCUACUUAAUGAAGUGACAAAAGCAUGUAGUAAGAUGGAAAGAAAAGGAAUUGAUUAAAAGGAAUUUAUGAGAACUGUUUUGUUUGUUUGUUUACUUUAAAAAGCCAAGAGAAAAACAGUUUUUACUACAUGUUGCUGGAGCAGAAUCUUAUUAAGUUUAUGGUGUAAAUCCAGGACCAAAUACUUUAAAACCAUCUAAAUGGCAGCUGGGAGUUGACCAAGUUCAGAAAAGAACUUGAUUCGGGGCUUUAAAAAGUCACAAUAUCCCUUCUUAAGUUCGAACUGAGUUAAAAGCAAUUGUUGCUGAAAUGCCUGAUGACUUAGGCAGCACAAUUAAUUCUAAAUUAUUUUAGUAAAUUUAAAUAAAUUGAUCAAUAAAACUUGUACAUAUUAAUUAUCUUCCAUAGUCUAGAUUUUUUUAAUUAAAUUUUUUCCUUUACUUGAUUAGGUCUCUUUUUCCAGUCUCUCUCUCUUUUUUUUCUUUUGAGAUGGAGUCUCGCUCUGUCACACCCAGGCUGAAGUGCAGUGGCACAAUCUCAGCUCACUGCAACCUCUGUCUCCUGGGUUCAAAAGAUUCUUGUGCCUCAGCCUCCCCAGUAGCUGAGAUUACAGGUGCCCACCACCAUGACCAGCUAAUUUUUGUAUUUUUAGUAGAGACAGGUUUUGCCAUGUUGGCCAGGCUGGUCUUGAACUCCUGGCCUCAAGUGAUCCUCCCACCUUGGCCUCCCAAAGUGCUGGGAUUACAGGCGUGUGCCACAAUACCCCACCCUUUUCCACUCUUGAAGGAUUGUUUGAAAACACACAUCUACUUCAGCAUACAGGCUAGGGUUUUUUGUUUUUGUUUUUUGAGACAGGGUCUUGCUCUGUCACCCAGGCUGGGGUGCAGUGGCACUUAGUUCACUGCAGCCUAAAACUCCCGGGCUAAUGCAAUCCUCUGACCUCAGCAUCACAAGUAGGUGGGACCACAGGCAUGUGCCACUAUGCCCAGCUGAUUUUUUUUUGUUGUUUGUUUGAAUUUUUUGUAGAUAACGGAUCUCCCUAUGUUGCCCAGGCUGGUGAACUUCUGGCCUCAAGCAAUCCUCCCACACCUGCUUCUCAAAGUGCUGGGAUUAUAGGCAUGAGCCAUUGUGCCUGGACAGGCUUCUUUUUAUGAUACAUGUAAUCUAUGUUUGCUUAUGUAAUUCAUUUCAUUUUGUUGGACAUUUUCACUUCAAAAGAAUAAAUACAGAGUAAGAGGAAUUAUUUGGGCAGGUGAGUCUUAAGUAAUCACAAUUAGUAGUUUUCUACAAUAUUUGAGAUCAUCACUCCCAUUUUGUAAAGGAUAUGCAUUACAACUGGUCACAGCAAUGAUUUGAAUUUAUGUCUUCAUUGACUCCAUCCUUCAUUGUUUUCUCUGCCUCCCUGCCUUCCCCUUUCCUUCUCUCUCUUACUUCCUUUCCUCCUAAAAUAUUUUCCAAGAAUCACUACACAUAAGGUUGCCAAAAUACCACUAGAAGGAAAAGAGAAGGCAUGCAAUACAAUGGAAAUAAUCAAUGUACUGACAAUCAUGCCUUCAUGUGCCUAGGAAUCAAACACAGCCAAAUUUACAUUUAUUUGCUAUGGGACUUCUCUCAGGAAACUCUCUGGCAUUAAUUAUCACUUUGACCUUAGGCAAGUCAUUGAUAGUCUCUUGACCUCAGUUUCUCUUCUGUAAAAUGGAGACGUUAGAUGAUCUUCAGCUCCUUCUAUUUCUCUUAUGAUUUUGUGACUAUAUUGAGGAUACCUUGGUUAGAACAAUUCUGAGAGACAGAGAAGCAAUAGAAGGAGAAGAUAUGUCAAUGAAUAAGGUGGGAUAUGUAGGUUGACUAUUUCCUUUAUGUUCACUAGAACUCUCUAAGAAAAUCCUAAAAUGCUACAUUAAGCUACUGCUUUGCAAAACAGGCAUGAGUAAGUGCCCCAUCUCAACUAAUGAAGUAACUAUAGAAGUUCACUAUUUUGAACAAAUAUGGAGUCUGAUGUAUAGUGCAUGCUCAGUAAAUUUUGUUGAUGUAAAGAAUGUCUGGGAAAUAUAAUGAAUUCACAAGUGCUUAUUUAAACCCCAUGCAUAACUCAGUUCUUAAAAUUUAUCAGCGGCUCAGAAAAUGGUUACUGGAUGAAGCAAAAUGUUGCAAAACACAGGAUUAUUAUAGAACGAUGAUUUCAUUCUCCUUUCUCCUUCCAGUCAGUCUAAGCCCACCCAUGCUCUGGGCUCACCUCAGGCACCAAUUCUUUUCCAAUUACAAUAUAACAUUGAUCCCUCCAUUUUCCCAAAGCUCUGUGGCUUUGUCCACACUGCAUGCCCAAUUUAGCAUGUAUCCACUGCUUUGUCCCCCUCAGAUUGUUUCAGGUUCAAACAUGUGUCAUGUAUUGUAUCACUUUCUAACCAUGGUCAUCCCUGAGUUAUAAAUCAUGCCAAACUCA